GGGUAAAGGAAAGGAAGAAAUAAAUUCUUUAGUACUUAUUUUCGAUUCAAACUACGUUGCUGUGUCAGAAAAAGGAUAGUUAUACUGAUUCAGUAUACUAUAAUGAUGCCCUUGGUACAAUAUUGAUGAUCUUACAAGGAUGAAAUAUUAGUGAUAAUCGCCUUUACCGAUCUCAACUUUUAUGAAAUCAAACCCCUUUGACUGUACAAAAAUGCGUGGAGUUGGGCAUGUCUGGAAGCACAGGAAAAUGUUCUUUCGCUGGUAUUAAUACCAGUAUUCAAUACUAGGUCAUUCAUAGCAUUACUAUGCCUUCCCUAUUCAUUGCUGGUUCGUUAUUCGUUAGUAACGGUUUAGCUCACGAUGAAUUUGGAAGCUAUUAGCCAAACGAAUAUUUUACAGAGAGCUAACAAGGAAUUCUAUUAAUAACUGGCCAGUUUGAUCCUUUGGAACAUCUCGAUGAACUUAGUAGAUUGUUUUAAGGGGGCCCUAAUCUAAUGAAUAUAGAUUGAACCUAUCAAAUUUUUACAGUACAAUGCUUGGCUAUUCAUAGCCUAGCUUUACCUUUUUUUUCAGGGUCAAUAUUAGCAAUGCAGUUCAUCCAAUGAUAAACCUAAUCCGAAUUAUAGAGCUAUGAUGCAUUCAAACCCGAACUUACAAAAUGUUGAAUUGAAUCGUACCAGUCUCUACUGGGGGUUAUUACUCAUUUUUGUACUUGCUAUUUUAUUUUAAAAUUAUUUCUUCAAUUAGGAAAACGAAAGAAGACAAAUAAGAAUUCUAGGCAUUCUCUUAGCCCAUUUGGAAGGAUCUCAUCUCAUAAUUAACCAUGAAUGUUUAUUCUGUAGCAUGGCCAUUUGAUGAAAUUGGAGGGAAGUAGAGUAAAUGAUCAAUACUGAUGGAAGGAUUCCUC
RNAcentral lists this long non-coding RNA (907 nucleotides) under Olea europaea subsp. europaea. The record is from RNAcentral. Lineage: Eukaryota; Viridiplantae; Streptophyta; Magnoliopsida; Lamiales; Oleaceae.